This 212-nucleotide unclassified non-coding RNA is filed under the name uncultured Russula. Its description in RNAcentral is "sequence contains ITS1". Lineage: Eukaryota; Fungi; Basidiomycota; Agaricomycetes; Russulales; Russulaceae. The record is from RNAcentral.
UCGUAUAAAAUGGAGGUGCUGGGGCUGUCGCUGACCUUUGAAAAAGGUCGUGCACGCCUGGAGCACACUCUCAUAUCCAUCUCACCCCUUUGUGCAUUGCCGCGUGGGUCCCCUUUUGGCUUGUUCCGAGGGGGUGACCUGCGUUUUUACAUAGACACCCUUUGAAUGCAUGUGUAGAACGUCUUACUAUUUGUGAUAAUGCACAAUCAAUA